GCAAACAUGAGUUGAGUUAAUCUGAGCAUUUUCCGGUUUGGUAUGGGCGGUCUGUUUAUCAACAUUUAGCUUCCCCUGUGUGGAAGAAGACCCCUCCAGCUUUGUCCUUUUACCUCUCAAGCUGAAAGUUGACUGAUGGAAAUCUCCGGGGAACAGGAGUCAGACUUCCGAAGAGUCGAAAUUCAACAGAAACAUAUUAUGGAGGAGGAAGAUGAUGAAUGGCAGCCUAGUAAGCAGGGGAGAAACUCCAGUCUGGACCAAGGAGGACCAGAACCUCCACAGAUCAAAGAGGAUCCAGAGGAACAGUGCAGUGAUCAGGAAGAGGAGCAGAAUCAGGAGACUGACGUGAAGGUGGAGUUCAAGUCUGAAUAUGGAGAAACAACUGAAGACUCAGACAAUAUGUUUGAAUUCAACGAAGAGAUGGAUCAGCAGUAUUGCGUAAGAAAUAUUAUCAGGAUUCCUGAGAGACAGCUCCAUGAAAUAGAUGUCCCACAGGGAUACGAGUAUAAAAAGGAGGAUGACCCAGAACCUCUACAGAUCAAAGAGGAACCAGAGGAACCGUGGGGUAACCAGGAGGGAGAGCAGCUGCUCCCGCAUCAGGAGCCUGAUGUGAAGGUGGAGUUCAUGUCUGAAUGUGAGGAAAAAUCCGAAGACAGCGAAAAUUUCAUGUUUGAGUUCAAGCAAGAGACAGAUCAAGAGUGCAGUCUGCAGAACAUCAUCGAGGAUUCUGAAGUAGAACCGCAAAACAAAGCCACAUCAUCCACUUCCACUGGAUCUCAUCUGGACGAUCAGGAGACAUUUGAUCCUCCCACCAUUGCUGGGCCUUCGACUUUGAACAGGAAAAGGAAGCGAAAGACGAGGCUAGACGCCACCGAUGUGAUGAAUGCCUUCCUGGAAAUCCAACAGCAGCAGCACGAGGAGUUUAUGCGUGCGGAGGAGCUGCGUCACCAGCAGGAGACGCAGAUGUUGAGGGACUGGAUGAAGGCGGACAGAGAGAUGGAGGAACGUCACCUGGAACUGCAGAGCCAGACUAACCACAUGUUUGAGAGAAUAAUGACCCGACUCCUGGACUUCAUGGUGCCUCCAACCCAUCAAAAGAUGUCUCGAGCCCAACAAACUCCUCAGAGUUUUUACUUGGAUUAUUAAGCGAUGGCAGAGGAACCCAGACCAUGAUCACCACAAGCUUGUUGCAAAACUGUUGCAUUUUUUUUUUUUGUUAUUGUGUCUCAGUGCUGAUAAGAGUAAAGAUUUUUUGAUAAGUUCUUUUUAACAACUAUUGUUUGCUUUUUUCUUUAGUUACUACUUUUCUGUUUGGAUUAAAAUAUCUUCCUCAAAGGAUUUCUUCUUUUUGUUGUUUUUGACCCUGCAGCCAAACAUUUUCUUCAACAUUUAUCAAAAUCCUGAAAUCCUACAAGGUGUGAUGAUUUUUGUUAUGUUGCUGAUGUGCCAAUUCUACGUCUACUUCAGCCAAUGCCUUCUUUAUUUGAAGAAGGAAGUCAGCUUUGGCUGAUCUGAUGCCAAACGCCCUCUGCACGGUCAUGCUGUCCUGAAACAGCUGUUCUGCAUAAUCUGUGCAGAAAUUUGGUAAGUUUUGAGUAAAGAGAGCAGAAGCUAAGUAAUGGCUGUAAAAUGUGUACAAGAGACUCAGUUGUCAAGGAGCAACAAUACAGUUUGACCCAUCAGGAUAUCUACAUCAUAAACUUUUCCUGGCCAGCCCACAUCAAUGCCUUGGAAACCAUUUUAAUGCAGCUCCCUGUUGGGAGAUGAAAAAAGACAGCUGGGAAAUAUCUAAGUAUAAUUUUGAAUAUAAAUUAUUUUCUAUUGUUAUUAUUGUAUUUCUAGGGCAGUAAGUAGAUUCUAUUCCACUGAAUUUCUCAUAGAAGACUGUUUUUGUUGACAUACAGGGACAGGAUAGGUAUCAAACUGACUUCUGAUAAACCUGUGUGUACAUUUCCCAUCAACAAGACUAAUUUAGCUAAGAUGUUAUAUCAAAGCUAUUCAUCCAGCAGAGGUUUACUGAUGGAAACUUCCCAAAACACAAGAAUCAAAUUUUUGUAUGACCGGUAUGUAUUUCUUUAGAAGACUGGAAGUGAAAAAGGUUAAAACAAAACGUUUGUUGGAAAAUUUACAGUAUAGCAACCCACUGACUGCAGCUUUGAAAGGUGAUAUUAAACUUAGGAUAUCGAAUAUUUUAACUUCAAGAUAUGUCUAAUCUUAAAAUUAUUCUGAAUAAAAUUUACAAAUUUUCCCCAAAUGUCUGCAUAUUUUAUUUUAACAAUGUGUUAUUUUAAAGAGAGUGUGUUUUGUUGCAGCUUUUCACAGUAUCUGUUAGGGAUGGGUUAGAAGGAGAACAGGAGAGCGAUGCUUUUAUGGUCUCUAUGCAUGAUCAGGA
Molecule: long non-coding RNA, 2392 nt
Filed under: Oryzias javanicus (javanese ricefish)
Lineage: Eukaryota; Metazoa; Chordata; Actinopteri; Beloniformes; Adrianichthyidae
Description: lncRNA (ENSOJAG00000008792.1)
Source: RNAcentral